UCCUCUGUAGUUCAGUCGGUAGAACGGCGGACUGUUAAUCCGUAUGUCACUGGUUCGAGUCCAGUCAGAAGAGCCA
This 76-nucleotide transfer RNA is filed under the name Klebsiella aerogenes. RNAcentral's name for it is "tRNA-Asn". It matches the Rfam family "tRNA". From Rfam's summary of the family: Transfer RNA (tRNA) molecules are approximately 80 nucleotides in length. Their secondary structure includes four short double-helical elements and three loops (D, anti-codon, and T loops). Further hydrogen bonds mediate the characteristic L-shaped molecular structure. tRNAs have two regions of fundamental functional importance: the anti-codon, which is responsible for specific mRNA codon recognition, and the 3' end, to which the tRNAs corresponding amino acid is attached (by aminoacyl-tRNA synthetases). tRNAs cope with the degeneracy of the genetic code in two manners: having more than one tRNA (with a specific anti-codon) for a particular amino acid; and 'wobble' base-pairing, i.e. permitting non-standard base-pairing at the 3rd anti-codon position. Lineage: Bacteria; Pseudomonadati; Pseudomonadota; Gammaproteobacteria; Enterobacterales; Enterobacteriaceae. The record is from RNAcentral. RNAcentral also lists the same sequence under 8 other names.